Molecule: long non-coding RNA, 259 nt
Organism: Apus apus (common swift)
Lineage: Eukaryota; Metazoa; Chordata; Aves; Apodiformes; Apodidae
Exons: 3
Source: RefSeq, a predicted model, not a curated record
AGCAGAUCUCACUGACCAGGGUUUCUAAUUACUGGUGUUUUCCUGCAGACUGGUUUUCCCAGCUCCAGCAAGGACGUGUGGAGUGACAGUCCCUGUCCCAGGCACUGCAGCAUCCCACAGCUAAAGCAGGUGGGAGUGGAAGAGAGGAGGGAGUUUUGCCUGUCCCUCCAGAGCCCUGGGAGGGGAAGAAAGGCAGAAGAAGUUUCCCUGCUGAAGAAAAGAGGCUGCUUCCUCUCUCCCCUGAUGCACACACCAAGAG